AAUUAUGAACAUACCGCCUUGUCAGUGCCCAAUCUCGUCUGAUCCCGGAAGCUAAGCAGGGUUGGUCCUGGUUAGCCCUUGGAAGGGCUGCCAAAAAUA
Molecule: ribosomal RNA, 99 nt
Filed under: Periophthalmus magnuspinnatus
Lineage: Eukaryota; Metazoa; Chordata; Actinopteri; Gobiiformes; Gobiidae
Source: RNAcentral